This 334-nucleotide unclassified non-coding RNA is filed under the name soil metagenome. Its description in RNAcentral is "partial contains 5.8S ribosomal RNA, internal transcribed spacer 2, and large subunit ribosomal RNA". The stretch from base 1 to 120 matches the Rfam family "5.8S ribosomal RNA", at positions 35 to 154 of the family's 154-position model. The record is from RNAcentral.
GAUGAAGAACGUAGCGAAAUGUGAUGAGUAAUGUGAAUUGCAGAAUUCAGUGAAUCAUCGAAUCUUUGAACGCACAUUGCGCCCGCCAGUAUUCUGGCGGGCAUGCCUGUUCGAGCGUCAUUUCAACCAUCAAGCCCCAGGCUUGUGUUGGAGCCCUGCGGCUGCCGCAGCCUCCCAAAACCAGUGGCGGGCUCGCUAUCACACCGAGUGCAGUAGUUUACUCUUCGCUCAGGGCGUGUGGCGGGUGCUAGCCGUAAAACCCCCAACUUCUCAAGGUUGACCUCGGAUCAGGCAGGAAUACCCGCUGAACUUAAGCAUAUCAAUAAGCGGAGGA